Molecule: long non-coding RNA, 1088 nt
Filed under: Calidris pugnax (ruff)
Lineage: Eukaryota; Metazoa; Chordata; Aves; Charadriiformes; Scolopacidae
Description: lncRNA (ENSCPUG00000016217.1)
Source: RNAcentral
AUGUUUCCACGUUUUUCAGCCUGGAAGACCAAAGUCCUCUCUAUUAAGCUGAUGAGAUGCCCUGUGUUUGGGAAAAGCCCUCGCGAGCUUAAGGAUCCAGACCCGGGCUUCGUGCUCAAAGCAUUAGCGGCGCAUGAGACAAUAUCCUCUCUCUUGGCAACAAAACGAGCCCAAAUAUCAAACGGCACCGAUUCCUUCUCGGAGAAAAUUACCCAUCGCGUAAAACGUUAAUGGCGGCGCCGGCCACACGUGGCAGCGAGCUCCAUCCACCGCUCGGGUAAGACGCCGCCCUUCCAAACAUCCCAACUUGCCUUUUCGAGCUCGCUUCUAUUUAUUGACGUUUCCUCCUCGAAACGAGGCUGUUUAUGGGUCUUUGUGUGGACCCCGAGGAUGUUUUCUGAUUCUCCUGCCCUUUCCCCCCUCCCCUCUAAACUGGAGAGCUGCUAACUUUAUUAGCUCCAUAUAUGGCAGCCCUGUUUUCUCACGCCUUUAAUGGCUUUCUUUUGAUCUGGCCUCGUCUUGCCUCGUUUUUCUGGACGUGAACCCGGUGUUCAAGCUGAGAUGGGUUUAUAACCUGCCUCCCUUGUUAAUACAUGACCCAUCGGUUUAAUAAUCCUCUCCGAGUGCCGAUAAGAAACCUCUGAAUGUUUUAACGGCCAGCGGGGUUGGCCGAGAUGCCCAGAGAUCGCUGGGUUCCUGGCUACACCCUCCAUGCUGAUAUCAGUAAUUAAAAUUGAUUAAAACUGCGCCUUGUGCUGCCCCAGCCCCUGCUUGUCCUGAAGGCUGAGGGCCAUGGGGCGAUGAAAAGCAGCUGAGGUCCCUCCUCUUCCUCACCCGUUGGCCCCUCUGGGGAGGGCAGCGUGUGGGGAUGCCUGUGUCUCCCUCGCUGUGUUGUCACUGGAGGCUGGGACAAAUGGUGGCAGUGACAGUGGUGGUUGGUGCCACCUGAGCCUGGUCCUUCUCAUGCUGGUUGGUGCCACCUGAGCCGGGUCCUUCUCAAGGCCCCUUUGGGCUGUUGGGGGGACGGUGGUGCUUGCUCCGGUCUCUCGCCUGGGUCUGUCUUCUUUAAAACCUUGGAAGGAGUUGGA